Molecule: ribosomal RNA, 217 nt
Filed under: uncultured bacterium
Lineage: Bacteria
Description: partial 16S ribosomal RNA
Rfam family: Bacterial small subunit ribosomal RNA
Source: RNAcentral
ACGCUCGACACCUACUGGAGGCAGCAGUGAGGAAUAUUGGUCAAUGGGCGCAGGCCUGAACCAGCCAAGUAGCGUGAAGGAUGACUGCCCUAUGGGUUGUAAACUUCUUUUAUAUGGGAAUAAAGUUUUCCACGUGUGGAAUUUUGUAUGUACCAUAUGAAUAAGGAUCGGCUAACUCCGUGCCACAGCCGCGGUAAUCUGAGCGGGCUGGCAAGGC